This 27-nucleotide small RNA is filed under the name Bombyx mori (domestic silkworm). RNAcentral describes it as "ovarian small RNA-20814". The record is from RNAcentral. Lineage: Eukaryota; Metazoa; Arthropoda; Insecta; Lepidoptera; Bombycidae.
UACCUAACCAUAACCCUACACGUGUCC